RNAcentral lists this ribosomal RNA (491 nucleotides) under uncultured bacterium. RNAcentral describes it as "partial 16S ribosomal RNA". It matches the Rfam family "Bacterial small subunit ribosomal RNA", at positions 28 to 507 of the family's 1533-position model. The record is from RNAcentral.
GAUGAACGCUGGCUACAGGCUUAACACAUGCAAGUCGAGGGGAAACGACGGGGAAGCUUGCUUCCCCGGGCGUCGACCGGCGCACGGGUGAGUAACGCGUAUCCAACCUGCCUCUGACUGAGGGAUAACCCGUCGAAAGUCGGCCUAAUACCUCAUGGUAUCGUCUGCGGGCAUCCAACGACGAUUAAAGAUUUCAUCGGUCAGGGAUGGGGAUGCGUCUGAUUAGCUUGUUGGCGGGGUAACGGCCCACCAAGGCUACGAUCAGUAGGGGUUCUGAGAGGAAGGUCCCCCACAUUGGAACUGAGACACGGUCCAAACUCCUACGGGAGGCAGCAGUGAGGAAUAUUGGGCAAUGGGCGAGAGCCUGAACCAGCCAAGUAGCGUGCAGGAAGACGGCCCUAUGGGUUGUAAACUGCUUUUAUGCGGGGAUAAAGUGAGGGACGGGUCCCUCAUUGCAGGUACCGCAUGAAUAAGGACCGGCUAAUUCCGUG